Molecule: transfer RNA, 87 nt
Filed under: Bacteriophage sp.
Description: tRNA-Tyr
Rfam family: tRNA
About the family: Transfer RNA (tRNA) molecules are approximately 80 nucleotides in length.
Source: RNAcentral
CCAUGUUUAUCCCGCUAAGGAGGCGGAUCUGACUGUAAAUCAGAUGGCUUCGGUCACGAGUGGGUUCGAUUCCCUCAACAUGGACGA